RNAcentral lists this ribosomal RNA (494 nucleotides) under uncultured bacterium. RNAcentral's name for it is "partial 16S ribosomal RNA". It matches the Rfam family "Bacterial small subunit ribosomal RNA", at positions 28 to 507 of the family's 1533-position model. The record is from RNAcentral.
GACGAACGCUGGCGGCGUGCUUAACACAUGCAAGUCGAACGGUGAAGCGCCUUCCUUUUUGGUGGGUGUGGAUGAGUGGCGAACGGGUGAGUAACACGUGAGUAACCUGCCCCCUUCUUCUGGAUAACCGCAUGAAAGUGUGGCUAAUACGGGAUAUUCUGGGUCUGUCGCAUGAUGGGUCUGGGAAAGAUCUUGUUUCGGUGGGGGAUGGUCUCGCGGCCUAUCAGGUUGUUGGUGGGGUGGUGGCCUACCGAGGCGGUGACGGGUAGCCGGCCUGGGAGGGUGGGCGGUAAUAGAGGGGAGGAGACACCGCGCCGCCUCCGACGGGAGGCAGCAGUGGAGAAUAGUGCACAGUGGGAGGAAGCCUGAUGCAGCGACGCCGCGGGGGAGAUGGAGUCCGUCGGGUUGAGAACCUCUUUCGCGAGUGAAGCAGGCCUGCCUAGUUUGUGGGUGGGUUGACGGUAGCUGGAGAAGAAGCGCCGGCUAACUACGUG